RNAcentral lists this transfer RNA (69 nucleotides) under Lucanus mazama (cottonwood stag beetle). RNAcentral describes it as "tRNA-Gln". The record is from RNAcentral. Lineage: Eukaryota; Metazoa; Arthropoda; Insecta; Coleoptera; Lucanidae.
UACAUUUUAGUAUAGGAGGUACAGAAGUUUUUGAUAUUUCAGGAGCUAGUUUAAGUCUAGCAGGUGUAA